RNAcentral lists this ribosomal RNA (316 nucleotides) under uncultured bacterium. RNAcentral describes it as "bacterial SSU rRNA". It matches the Rfam family "Bacterial small subunit ribosomal RNA", at positions 28 to 334 of the family's 1533-position model. The record is from RNAcentral.
GAUGAACGCUGGCGGCGUGCUUAACACAUGCAAGUCGAGCGAAGCACCUUGACUUCUUCGGAAUGAUUGGUGACUGAGUGGCGGACGGGUGAGUAACGCGUGGGCAACCUGCCUCACACAGGGGGAUAACAGUUAGAAAUGACUGCUAAUACCGCAUAAGACCACAGCACCGCAUGGUGCAGGGGUAAAAACUCCGGUGGUGUGAGAUGGACCCGCGUCUGAUUAGCUAGUUGGUGAGGUAACGGCUCACCAAGGCGACGAUCAGUAGCCGACCUGAGAGGGUGACCGGCCACAUUGGGACUGAGACACGGCCCAA